GACGAACGCUGGCGGCGUGCUUAACACAUGCAAGUCGAACGGAAAGGCCCUGCUUUUGUGGGGUGCUCGAGUGGCGAACGGGUGAGUAACACGUGAGUAACCUGCCCUUGACUUUGGGAUAACUUCAGGAAACUGGGGCUAAUACCGGAUAGGAGCUCCUGCUGCAUGGUGGGGGUUGGAAAGUUUCGGCGGUUGGGGAUGGACUCGCGGCUUAUCAGCUUGUUGGUGGGGUAGUGGCUUACCAAGGCUUUGACGGGUAGCCGGCCUGAGAGGGUGACCGGCCACAGUGGGACUGAGAUACGGCCCAGACUCCUACGGGAGGCAGCAGUGGGAAAUAUUGCACAAUGGGCGGAAGCCUGAUGCAGCAACGCCGCGUGCGGGAUGACGGCCUUCGGGUUGUAAACCGCUUGCGCCUGUGACGAAGCGUGAGUGACGGUAAUGGGUAAAGAAGCACCGGCUAACUACGUG
Molecule: ribosomal RNA, 468 nt
Filed under: uncultured bacterium
Lineage: Bacteria
Description: partial 16S ribosomal RNA
Rfam family: Bacterial small subunit ribosomal RNA
Source: RNAcentral